RNAcentral lists this ribosomal RNA (450 nucleotides) under uncultured bacterium. RNAcentral's name for it is "SSU rRNA". It matches the Rfam family "Bacterial small subunit ribosomal RNA", at positions 26 to 518 of the family's 1533-position model. The record is from RNAcentral.
AGAACGAACGCUGGCGGCAUGCCUAACACAUGCAAGUCGAACGGGACCUUCGGGUCUAGUGGCGCACGGGUGCGUAACGCGUGGGAAUCUGCCCUCAGGUACGGAAUAACUCAGGGAAACUUGAGCUAAUACCGUAUAAUGACUUCGGUCCAAAGAUUUAUCGCCUGAGGAUGAGCCCGCGUAGGAUUAGCUUGUUGGUGAGGUAAAAGCUCACCAAGGCGACGAUCCUUAGCUGGUCUGAGAGGAUGAUCAGCCACACUGGGACUGAGACACGGCCCAGACUCCUACGGGAGGCAGCAGUGGGGAAUCUUGCGCAAUGGGCGAAAGCCUGACGCAGCAACGCCGCGUGGGGGAUGAAUGCCUUCGGGUUGUAAACCUCUUUCAGCAGGGACGAAGCGAAAGUGACGGUACCUGCAGAGAAGCACCGGCCAACUACGUGCCAGCAGCCGC